GAUGAAGAACGUAGCGAAAUGCGAUAAGUAAUGUGAAUUGCAGAAUUCAGUGAAUCAUCGAAUCUUUGAACGCACAUUGCGCCCUUUGGUAUUCCUUAGGGCAUGCCUGUUCGAGCGUCAUUUAAACCUUCAAGCUAAGCUUGGUGUUGGGUGACUGUCCGCUUCACGGCGGACUCGCCUCAAAAUUAUUGGCGGCCGGUACAUUGGCUUCGAGCGCAGCAGAAACGCGAACUCGGGCCCGUCGUAUUGGCUCCCAGAAGCUAUCUUCACAAUUUUGACCUCGGAUCAGGUAGGGAUACCCGCUGAACUUAAGCAUAUCAAUAAGCGGAGGA
Molecule: unclassified non-coding RNA, 332 nt
Filed under: soil metagenome
Description: partial contains 5.8S ribosomal RNA, internal transcribed spacer 2, and large subunit ribosomal RNA
Rfam family: 5.8S ribosomal RNA (bases 1-120)
Source: RNAcentral